This 563-nucleotide ribosomal RNA is filed under the name uncultured Sebacinales. Its description in RNAcentral is "eukaryotic LSU rRNA". It matches the Rfam family "Eukaryotic large subunit ribosomal RNA", at positions 81 to 612 of the family's 3401-position model. Lineage: Eukaryota; Fungi; Basidiomycota; Agaricomycetes; Sebacinales. The record is from RNAcentral.
UAGUAACGGCGAGUGAAGAGGGAAAAGCUCAAAUUUUGAAUCUGGUGUCUUUGACUCCCGAGUUGUAAUCUAGAGAAGUGUUUUCCGCGUUGGACCGUGUACAAGUUCCCUGGAACGGGGCGUCAUAGAGGGUGAGAAUCCCGUAUAUGCCACGGACUACCAAUGCUCUGUGAUACACUCUCAACGAGUCGAGUUGUUUGGGAAUGCAGCUCAAAAUGGGUGGUAAAUUCCAUCUAAAGCUAAAUAUUGGCGAGAGACCGAUAGCGAACAAGUACCGUGAGGGAAAGAUGAAAAGCACUUUGGAAAGAGAGUGAAACAGUACGUGAAAUUGUUGAAAGGGAAGCGUUUGAAGUCAGUCACGUCUGUCGGAAUUCAGCCUGGCUUCUGCCUGGUGUACUUUCCGUCCGACGGGUCAGCAUCAAUUUCGACCGAGGGAAAAAGACGUGAGGAAUGUGGCUGUCUUCGGGCAGUGUUAUAGACUCGCGUUGUAUGUCUCGGUUGGGAUUGAGGAACGCAGCGCGCCUAUUGGCCGGGGGUUCGCGCCCCUCGGUACGCGCUUAGGA